RNAcentral lists this ribosomal RNA (100 nucleotides) under uncultured bacterium. Its description in RNAcentral is "partial 16S ribosomal RNA". It matches the Rfam family "Bacterial small subunit ribosomal RNA", at positions 1384 to 1482 of the family's 1533-position model. The record is from RNAcentral.
UACACACCGCCCGUCACACCGCGAAAGUUUGUUGUACCUGAAGUCGUUGGCGCCAACCGCAAGGAGGCAGACGCCCACGGUAUGACCGAUGAUUGGGGUG